AGAGUUUGAUCCUGGCUCAGGAUGAACGCUGGCGGCGUGCUUAACACAUGCAAGUCGAACGGUGAAGGAGAGCUUGCUCUUUGGAUCAGUGGCGAACGGGUGAGUAACACGUGAGCAAUCUGCCCCUGACUCUGGGAUAAGCGUUGGAAACGACGUCUAAUACUGGAUACGAGCUGCGACCGCAUGGUCAGCAGUUGGAAAGAAUUUCGGUCAGGGAUGAGCUCGCGGCCUAUCAGCUUGUUGGUGAGGUAAUGGCUCACCAAGGCGUCGACGGGUAGCCGGCCUGAGAGGGUGACCGGCCACACUGGGACUGAGACACGGCCCAGACUCCUACGGGAGGCAGCAGUGGGGAAUAUUGCACAAUGGGCGCAAGCCUGAUGCAGCAACGCCGCGUGAGGGACGACGGCCUUCGGGUUGUAAACCUCUUUUAGCAAGGAAGAAGCGAAAGUGACGGUACUUGCAGAAAAAGCGCCGGCUAACUACGUGCCAGCAGCCGCGGUAAUACGUAGGGCGCAAGCGUUAUCCGGAAUUAUUGGGCGUAAAGAGCUCGUAGGCGGUUUGUCGCGUCUGCUGUGAAAUCCCGAGGCUCAACCUCGGGUCUGCAGUGGGUACGGGCAGACUAGAGUGCGGUAGGGGAGAUUGGAAUUCCUGGUGUAGCGGUGGAAUGCGCAGAUAUCAGGAGGAACACCGAUGGCGAAGGCAGAUCUCUGGGCCGUAACUGACGCUGAGGAGCGAAAGGGUGGGGAGCAAACAGGCUUAGAUACCCUGGUAGUCCACCCCGUAAACGUUGGGAACUAGUUGUGGGGUCCAUUCCACGGAUUCCGUGACGCAGCUAACGCAUUAAGUUCCCGCCUGGGGAGUACGGCCGCAAGGCUAAAACUCAA
RNAcentral lists this ribosomal RNA (884 nucleotides) under uncultured bacterium. Its description in RNAcentral is "bacterial SSU rRNA". It matches the Rfam family "Bacterial small subunit ribosomal RNA", at positions 8 to 904 of the family's 1533-position model. The record is from RNAcentral.